This 487-nucleotide ribosomal RNA is filed under the name Bacillus sp. oral taxon A08. Its description in RNAcentral is "bacterial SSU rRNA". It matches the Rfam family "Bacterial small subunit ribosomal RNA", at positions 28 to 500 of the family's 1533-position model. Lineage: Bacteria; Bacillati; Bacillota; Bacilli; Caryophanales; Bacillaceae. The record is from RNAcentral.
GACGAACGCUGGCGGCGUGCCUAAUACAUGCAAGUCGGGCGAACAGAAAAGGAGCUUGCUCCUGACGUUAGCGGCGGACGGGUGAGUAACACGUGGGCAACCUACCCUAUAGUUUGGGAUAACUCCGGGAAACCGGGGCUAAUACCGAAUAAUCUCUUUGCUUCAUGGCAAAAGACUGAAAGACGGUUUCGGCUGUCGCUAUAGGAUGGGCCCGCGGCGCAUUAGCUAGUUGGUGAGGUAACGGCUCACCAAGGCGACGAUGCGUAGCCGACCUGAGAGGGUGAUCGGCCACACUGGGACUGAGACACGGCCCAGACUCCUACGGGAGGCAGCAGUAGGGAAUCUUCCACAAUGGCGUAAGCCUGAUGGAGCAACGCCGCGUGAGUGAAGAAGGUUUUCGGAUCGUAAAACUCUGUUGUAAGGGAAGAACAAGUACAGUAGUAACUGGCUGUACCUUGACGGUACCUUAUUAGAAAGCCACGGCUAA